RNAcentral lists this ribosomal RNA (255 nucleotides) under uncultured bacterium. Its description in RNAcentral is "partial 16S ribosomal RNA". It matches the Rfam family "Bacterial small subunit ribosomal RNA", at positions 524 to 776 of the family's 1533-position model. The record is from RNAcentral.
UACGGGGGGGAGCAAGCGUUGUUCGGAUUUACUGGGCGUAAAGGGCGCGUAGGCGGCCACCGCAAGUCGAUUGUGAAAUCUCCGGGCUUAACCCGGAAAGGUCAACCGAUACUGCGGGGCUAGAGUGCAGAAGGGGCAACUGGAAUUCUCGGUGUAGCGGUGAAAUGCGUAGAUAUCGAGAGGAACACCUGCGGCGAAGGCGGGUUGCUGGGCUGACACUGACGCUGAUGUGCGAAAGCUAGGGGAGCGAACGGG